This 444-nucleotide unclassified non-coding RNA is filed under the name Hevea brasiliensis (rubber tree). Lineage: Eukaryota; Viridiplantae; Streptophyta; Magnoliopsida; Malpighiales; Euphorbiaceae. The record is from RNAcentral.
AUUUUAGGGUUUUGUUUUAUUAGUUUCUUUUGCUUUUUUCCAUUAUCAGAAAUAUGUUUUUCUUUUGUUUGUUUUGGGUCAAUUGAUAUGCUUUCAAUUCUACUGAUAAAAUUUCUCCUUUAGAUGCAUGAUACGCCUAUCUCCCUUCCUUUUGUUUUGUGUAUCUUCAGUAAUUAAUUUGUAGUGGUCGAAUUAUUCUACUUGGCAAAUAGUAUUCGUGUCUUUGCAUAAGCGCUAAUGCAAAUUUGAUUGCUCGGAAUCUAUUGAACUUGUUAAAUGUUCCUUUCCAUGGGUUGGUUAUAAUGUUUGCUGCAAAUUUUGGCGUUGCUGAUUCUUUUUUCUAGCAAUUUUAGUAUAUGGUCUAGUUUGAGUUAAUUACCGGUGUAUAACGGAUAAGAAGUCCCUAUUAUGAUGUGAAUAGUGGUCAUAUUGUAGGAUGGUUUA